GAAAUCAAGUGUAGGUGGAGCCUGUGGCAGCGAUCAAGGCGACCCACACUUGGUUUCAA
Molecule: microRNA precursor, 59 nt
Filed under: Columba livia (rock pigeon)
Lineage: Eukaryota; Metazoa; Chordata; Aves; Columbiformes; Columbidae
Description: Cli-Mir-551-P1_pre stem-loop
Source: RNAcentral